This 508-nucleotide ribosomal RNA is filed under the name uncultured bacterium. RNAcentral describes it as "partial 16S ribosomal RNA". It matches the Rfam family "Bacterial small subunit ribosomal RNA", at positions 28 to 507 of the family's 1533-position model. The record is from RNAcentral.
GACGAACGCUGGCGGCGUGCCUAAUACAUGCAAGUCGAACGCUUCUUUCCUCACGAGUGCUUGCACUCAAUUGGAAAGAGGAGAGGCGGACGGGUGAGUAACACGUGGGUAACUUACCCAUCAGAGGGGGAUAACACUUGGAAACAGGUGCUAAUACCGCCUAACAGUUUAUGCCGCAUGGCAUAAGAGUGAAAGGCGCUUUCGGGUGUCGCUGAUGGAUGGACCCGCGGUGCAUUAGCUAGUUGGUGAGGUAACGGCUCACCAAGGCCACGAUGCAUAGCCGACCUGAGAGGGUGAUCGGCCACACUGGGACUGAGACACGGCCCAGACUCCUACGGGAGGCAGCAGUAGGGAAUCUUCGGCAAAGGACGAAAGUCUGACCGAGCAACGCCGCGUGAGUGAAGAAGGUUUUCGGAUCGUAAAACUCUGUUGUUAGAGAAGAACAAGGACGUUAGUAACUGAACGUCCCCUGACGGUAUCUAACCAGAAAGCCACGGCUAACUACGUG